Molecule: ribosomal RNA, 450 nt
Filed under: uncultured bacterium
Lineage: Bacteria
Description: SSU rRNA
Rfam family: Bacterial small subunit ribosomal RNA
Source: RNAcentral
AGAGCGAACGCUGGCGGCAGGCCUAACACAUGCAAGUCGAGCGCCCGUAGCAAUACGGGAGCGGCAGGCGGGAUAGUAACACGUGGGAACGCGCCCUUCGGUUCGGAAUAACUCAGGGAAACUUGAGCUAAUACCGGAUACGCCCUUACGGGGAAAGAUUUAUUGCCGAAGGAACGGCCCGCGUCCGAUUAGCUAGUUGGUGAGGUAAUGGCUCACCAAGGCGACGAUCGGUAGCUGGUCUGAGAGGAUGACCAGCAUCACUGGGACUGAGACACGGCCCAGACUCCUACGGGAGGCAGCAGUGGGGAAUAUUGGACAAUGGGCGCAAGCCUGAUCCAGCCAUGCCGCGUGGAUGAUGAAGGCCUUAGGGUUGUAAAGUCCUUUUAACGGGGAAGAUAAUGACGGUACCCGUAGAAUAAGCCCCGGCUAACUUCGUGUCCAGCAGCCGCA